GGAAAGAUUCAUCGGUAUGGGAUGGGGUCGCGUCCUAUCAGCUUGAUGGCGGGGUAACGGCCCACCAUGGCUUCGACGGGUAGCCGGCCUGAGAGGGCGACCGGCCACAUUGGGACUGAGAUACGGCCCAGACUCCUACGGGAGGCAGCAGUGGGGAAUAUUGCACAAUGGGCGCAAGCCUGAUGCAGCGACGCCGCGUGCGGGAUGACGGCCUUCGGGUUGUAAACCGCUUUUGACUGGGAGCAAGCCCUUCGGGGUGAGUGUACCUUUCGAAUAAGCACCGGCUAACUACGUGCCAGCAGCCGCGGUAAUACGUAGGGUGCAAGCGUUAUCCGGAAUUAUUGGGCGUAAAGGGCUCGUAGGCGGUUCGUCGCGUCCGGUGUGAAAGUCCAUCGCUUAACGGUGGAUCCGCGCCGGGUACGGGCGGGCUUGAGUGCGGUAGGGGAGACUGGAAUUCCCGGUGUAACGGUGGAAUGUGUAGAUAUCGGAA
RNAcentral lists this ribosomal RNA (490 nucleotides) under Bifidobacterium adolescentis JCM 15918. RNAcentral's name for it is "bacterial SSU rRNA". It matches the Rfam family "Bacterial small subunit ribosomal RNA", at positions 201 to 702 of the family's 1533-position model. Lineage: Bacteria; Bacillati; Actinomycetota; Actinomycetes; Bifidobacteriales; Bifidobacteriaceae. The record is from RNAcentral.